RNAcentral lists this ribosomal RNA (2247 nucleotides) under Salmonella enterica. RNAcentral describes it as "partial 23S ribosomal RNA". It matches the Rfam family "Bacterial large subunit ribosomal RNA", at positions 593 to 2824 of the family's 2925-position model. The record is from RNAcentral. RNAcentral also lists the same sequence under 4 other names. Lineage: Bacteria; Pseudomonadati; Pseudomonadota; Gammaproteobacteria; Enterobacterales; Enterobacteriaceae.
GUGACUGCGUACCUUUUGUAUAAUGGGUCAGCGACUUAUAUUCUGUAGCAAGGUUAACCGAAUAGGGGAGCCGGAGGGAAACCGAGUCUUAAUUGGGCGUUAAGUUGCAGGGUAUAGACCCGAAACCCGGUGAUCUAGCCAUGGGCAGGUUGAAGGUUGGGUAACACUAACUGGAGGACCGAACCGACUAAUGUUGAAAAAUUAGCGGAUGACCUGUGGCUGGGGGUGAAAGGCCAAUCAAACCGGGAGAUAGCUGGUUCUCCCCGAAAGCUAUUUAGGUAGCGCCUCGUGAAUUCAUCUCCGGGGGUAGAGCACUGUUUCGGCUAGGGGGCCAUCCCGGCUUACCAACCCGAUGCAAACUGCGAAUACCGGAGAAUGUUAUCACGGGAGACACACGGCGGGUGCUAACGUCCGUCGUGAAGAGGGAAACAACCCAGACCGCCAGCUAAGGUCCCAAAGUCAUGGUUAAGUGGGAAACGAUGUGGGAAGGCCCAGACAGCCAGGAUGUUGGCUUAGAAGCAGCCAUCAUUUAAAGAAAGCGUAAUAGCUCACUGGUCGAGUCGGCCUGCGCGGAAGAUGUAACGGGGCUAAACCAUGCACCGAAGCUGCGGCAGCGACACUGUGUGUUGUUGGGUAGGGGAGCGUUCUGUAAGCCUGCGAAGGUGGCCUGUGAGGGUUGCUGGAGGUAUCAGAAGUGCGAAUGCUGACAUAAGUAACGAUAAAGCGGGUGAAAAGCCCGCUCGCCGGAAGACCAAGGGUUCCUGUCCAACGUUAAUCGGGGCAGGGUGAGUCGACCCCUAAGGCGAGGCCGAAAGGCGUAGUCGAUGGGAAACGGGUUAAUAUUCCCGUACUUGGUGUUACUGCGAAGGGGGGACGGAGAAGGCUAUGUUGGCCGGGCGACGGUUGUCCCGGUUUAAGCGUGUAGGUGUGUGUUCCAGGUAAAUCCGGUUCACUUUAACACUGAGGCGUGACGACGAGGCACUACGGUGCUGAAGCAACAAAUGCCCUGCUUCCAGGAAAAGCCUCUAAGCAUCAGGUAACAUCAAAUCGUACCCCAAACCGACACAGGUGGUCAGGUAGAGAAUACCAAGGCGCUUGAGAGAACUCGGGUGAAGGAACUAGGCAAAAUGGUGCCGUAACUUCGGGAGAAGGCACGCUGACACGUAGGUGAAGUGAUUUACUCAUGGAGCUGAAGUCAGUCGAAGAUACCAGCUGGCUGCAACUGUUUAUUAAAAACACAGCACUGUGCAAACACGAAAGUGGACGUAUACGGUGUGACGCCUGCCCGGUGCCGGAAGGUUAAUUGAUGGGGUCAGCGCAAGCGAAGCUCCUGAUCGAAGCCCCGGUAAACGGCGGCCGUAACUAUAACGGUCCUAAGGUAGCGAAAUUCCUUGUCGGGUAAGUUCCGACCUGCACGAAUGGCGUAAUGAUGGCCAGGCUGUCUCCACCCGAGACUCAGUGAAAUUGAACUCGCUGUGAAGAUGCAGUGUACCCGCGGCAAGACGGAAAGACCCCGUGAACCUUUACUAUAGCUUGACACUGAACAUUGAGCCUUGAUGUGUAGGAUAGGUGGGAGGCUUUGAAGUGUGGACGCCAGUCUGCAUGGAGCCGACCUUGAAAUACCACCCUUUAAUGUUUGAUGUUCUAACGUGGACCCGUUACCCGGGUUGCGGACAGUGUCUGGUGGGUAGUUUGACUGGGGCGGUCUCCUCCUAAAGAGUAACGGAGGAGCACGAAGGUUGGCUAAUCCUGGUCGGACAUCAGGAGGUUAGUGCAAUGGCAUAAGCCAGCUUGACUGCGAGCGUGACGGCGCGAGCAGGUGCGAAAGCAGGUCAUAGUGAUCCGGUGGUUCUGAAUGGAAGGGCCAUCGCUCAACGGAUAAAAGGUACUCCGGGGAUAACAGGCUGAUACCGCCCAAGAGUUCAUAUCGACGGCGGUGUUUGGCACCUCGAUGUCGGCUCAUCACAUCCUGGGGCUGAAGUAGGUCCCAAGGGUAUGGCUGUUCGCCAUUUAAAGUGGUACGCGAGCUGGGUUUAGAACGUCGUGAGACAGUUCGGUCCCUAUCUGCCGUGGGCGCUGGAGAACUGAGGGGGGCUGCUCCUAGUACGAGAGGACCGGAGUGGACGCAUCACUGGUGUUCGGGUUGUCAUGCCAAUGGCACUGCCCGGUAGCUAAAUGCGGAAGAGAUAAGUGCUGAAAGCAUCUAAGCACGAAACUUGCCCCGAGAUGAGUUCUCCCUGAGACUUA